This 481-nucleotide ribosomal RNA is filed under the name Paramoeba perurans. Its description in RNAcentral is "SSU rRNA". The record is from RNAcentral. Lineage: Eukaryota; Discosea; Flabellinia; Dactylopodida; Paramoebidae.
UAACAUAUGGUGAAUCAUGAUAACUUUACGAAUCGCAUGGKCUUUUGUGCCGGCGAUAGUUCAUUCAAAUAUCUGCCCUAUCAACUUUCGAUGGUAGUAUAGAGGACUACCAUGGUGUUAACGGGUAACGGAGAAUCAGGGUUUGAUUCCGGAGAAGGAGCCUGAGAAACGGCUACUACUUCCAAGGAAGGCAGCAGGCGCGCAAAUUACCCAAUCCCGACACGGGGAGGUAGUGACAAAAAAUAACAAUACCGGUCUUAUUUAAGUCUGGUAAUUGGAAUGAGUACAAUCUAAAUCCUUUAACGAGUAUCAAUUGGAGGGCAAGUCUGGUGCCAGCAGCCGCGGUAAUUCCAGCUCCAAUAGCAUAUAUUAAAGUUGUUGCAGUUAAAAAGCUCGUAGUUGGAUUUUGAAGUUUACAUAUUAUGACCCACUUUGUAUUARGUGUGUUUUGUUGUGAUAUGUACUUCUCCUUACUAGACUU